GUGCUGUGUAAGAGGAGAGAAGGACAGCACUCCCUUUGACAAGGAUGGAGGAGGCCCUUGGGCCCGACAGCACACAUACAGGUACGCCACUGAUUUCGAGGCAUCUUACCAUCAUUCUUU
Small nuclear RNA from Otolemur garnettii (small-eared galago), 120 nucleotides. Lineage: Eukaryota; Metazoa; Chordata; Mammalia; Primates; Galagidae. The record is from Ensembl.